Molecule: ribosomal RNA, 254 nt
Filed under: uncultured bacterium
Lineage: Bacteria
Description: partial 16S ribosomal RNA
Rfam family: Bacterial small subunit ribosomal RNA
Source: RNAcentral
GACGUAGGGCGCGAGCGUUGUCCGGAUUUAUUGGGCGUAAAGAGCUCGUAGGCGGCUUGUCGCGUCAACUGUGAAAACCCGUGGCUCAACCAUGUGGUCUGCAGUCGAUACGGGCAGGCUAGAAUUCGGUAGGGGAGACUGGAAUUCCUGGUGUAGCGGUGAAAUGCGCAGAUAUCAGGAGGAACACCGGUGGCGAAGGCGGGUCUCUGGGCCUUACCUGACGCUGAGGCGCGAAAGCUAGGGGAGCGAACAGG